UAUUGAUUUAAGAAAUAUUCAUACAUUGAAAUAAUUCAAGACUGGGCCCGGCCUAAUGCCAAAUCGAGCCAACAAAAUACAUAACGCAAUACCGUUUACAAAAGGCAUGAAAUCUACUCCGGCGGUCCUAACGUCCAACACCAAGCUAUCCGAUCAUCCUUACCUAAAGCGACCUGCAAAAUGGACAACGGAGUUGGAUGAGUAACCUAAUGUUACUCAGCGAGUUACAAUCCCCAACUAACAAAUACAACCCCUCACUAUCCCACACCAAACAAUCUAAAGCGAGAAGUUCACCUAACAACACAAUUCAAUAACAAUAAACAAUAUCCGAAAUACGCAGCGGUAAACGAUAGCAAGAUAACUAGCAUUAUGCUAAUUACUAGCUCAUCACCAAAAAUCAAACUCGAUUUAAACCAGAGU
This 420-nucleotide long non-coding RNA is filed under the name Brassica napus (rape). RNAcentral's name for it is "long non-coding RNA (BNAP_LNC010684)". Lineage: Eukaryota; Viridiplantae; Streptophyta; Magnoliopsida; Brassicales; Brassicaceae. The record is from RNAcentral.